CUUUGAGUGAGGUCAUUAAGGUCAUCACCCCUGCUUGAUGUUACAACAUGCUGAUAGCUCAUGAUAAAGAUCUUAUCAACAUCAUGAAAGGUAAGUUUGAAAUACACUUGUUAAAGUGACAUUGAUGUAAUUGUUCUAAACUAUUGGUUUACUAUAAUCACAAUCAUGGUAUAGUUAAC
Molecule: long non-coding RNA, 179 nt
Organism: Thalassophryne amazonica
Lineage: Eukaryota; Metazoa; Chordata; Actinopteri; Batrachoidiformes; Batrachoididae
Exons: 3
Source: RefSeq, a predicted model, not a curated record